GCCCUGUGGUUACUGGAUGCCAUAGUGCAAGUACAGUUUUCCAGUGGAUGUGAGGAGCCAGAGCAAGCCUGUGAUCUACACAUGGAGGCUGUUUCUCUUCCAUAGUGAGUGCAGCCCUGUCACUGAUAAUAUGG
This is a small nucleolar RNA of Phyllostomus discolor (pale spear-nosed bat), 134 nucleotides long. RefSeq annotates it as small nucleolar RNA SNORA84. The record is from RefSeq and is a predicted model, not a curated record. The transcript has a single exon. NCBI's taxonomy places the organism in Eukaryota, Metazoa, Chordata, Mammalia, Chiroptera, Phyllostomidae.